Molecule: ribosomal RNA, 253 nt
Filed under: uncultured bacterium
Lineage: Bacteria
Description: partial 16S ribosomal RNA
Rfam family: Bacterial small subunit ribosomal RNA
Source: RNAcentral
UACGUAGGUGGCGAGCGUUGUCCGGAUUUACUGGGCGUAAAGGGCGUGCAGGCGGUUUGUUAAGUGCAGGGUGAAAGCUCCCGGCUCAACUGGGAGAGGUCCUUGCAUACUGGCGAACUCGAGGGAGGCAGAGGAAAGUGGAAUUCCCGGUGUAGUGGUGAUAUGCGUAGAUAUCGGGAGGAGCACCUGUGGCGAAGGCGGCUUUCUGGGCCUUACCUGACGCUGAGACGCGAAAGCGUGGGGAGCGAACCGG